UGACCUCGGAUCAGGUAGGAAUACCCGCUGAACUUAAGCAUAUCAAUA
Molecule: ribosomal RNA, 48 nt
Filed under: Fusarium equiseti
Lineage: Eukaryota; Fungi; Ascomycota; Sordariomycetes; Hypocreales; Nectriaceae
Also listed under: 13 other names
Description: partial 28S ribosomal RNA
Source: RNAcentral